AGUUCAAAUAUGAACAUUGAAGCAAAAUCUAAAAGCAUAGAAACAUUCCUUGAUGCAGAGCCUACAAUGCAACUACCAUCAUAUUUAGAAUCUAUUCAAGGACAAAAUGGUCUCGGCGAUUCAUAUCCCACCUCAUUUAUGGAUUUGAUGAGAGCUGCUUCAUAUCCAUACCAAUAAGGUUUUUAACCUGCGGGUUAGCUAUAAGUUUUGGAGUUUCAAGUCAUAAAAGAUGCCCGGAGACACAAUUAUGCUGCUCUUAGUUCAGUUUUUUUUUUCUUUUGGGUUAAAAAUAAUAAUAGGCAACUGAUUCACUCGUCUAACAGAGUAGUUGCUUGACAAGCAGUUCUUUUAUUUGACUUUUGUGUUUAGUAAUUAAAGAUAAUCAAGUUUUCUGUCUUUCUGUUGGGUAUUAUCUUCUGUUGAGAUCACGAUUCCAUUGUGUUCAAACCACCUGUUAUGCUUUAGGUUCAUGUCGUCAAGUUUUAAGCAAUCAACAUCCUGUCUGAUUUAAUUCUCAAUAUUGCGGCAGAAAGCUUUUUUUCUUAAUUUAUGAAGGAAGACCAGCUCCUGGCAAAGAGCUCAUAGAUGAGUUCAAUGUUCUGGAGGCUAAUAUGUGGAAU
Long non-coding RNA from Capsicum annuum, 620 nucleotides. RefSeq lists it as uncharacterized. The transcript is spliced from 3 exons. The record is from RefSeq and is a predicted model, not a curated record. NCBI's taxonomy places the organism in Eukaryota, Viridiplantae, Streptophyta, Magnoliopsida, Solanales, Solanaceae.